UGCUCGCAAUCGCACAUCUAGCCGGCGUGGAGGUCGAGAGUUUCGGUGCGAGCACCGGCCGGCUCGACCUCUAGAGCGGUUUGAUAUGUCUGUAGUACGUGGGGUCCGGCUUUAGCCGGACUCUACGUACUACACGGUACCGGGAGCGGGCGCUCCGCGAUCGCGGGCGGGCCGGUCUGAAGACCGGCCCCUACCGGCAAGGUUGCUGAUUCCGCGUGUCAACCGGUCGUCACCACCUGACUCCGAACGUGAGCGGGUAGUACGAGGCGUUCGUGCCGCAGCCCCCCGAGCAGGCGUUCACCGUCCCCGCCGGAAGGUUCGCAGGGGCAUUGAUGGUCGGCCCCCACACAUAGUGAAAACGCGUCUCGAUGUAGAAUUUUGCCUCGCCGCCGAAGGUCACGCCGCCGCCGAUGUUGAUGCCGAAGUCGUUCGACGACCGAUCGCCGAGGAUGUUGUCGACCGACACGGCGACCGGAUAGCACACGUACCAGUACGGAUCGCAGUACGUUGCGUAGCCGACAGCCGGCGAGGUCAGCUGGAUCAUUCGGUGGUAGAUGCCGAGGCCGCCGAGCAGGAAGCCGCCGACCGCGCUGUCACUCGGAUGAUUCUUGUACACGAGGUUGAAGGAGCCGAUGUGCAUCUGAUGAUUGGCUUCAAUCAGCUGAGCGCUCGUCGCCCCGCCCGGAACCGGGCUCACCAGGAUCGUCUUCUCGGGCCCGUUCAUCCGCGAGUAGAUGUACUCGGUCUGCACCCCGAGAUUCUCGUUGAUGUUGAACGUCACGCCGAAGGUGCCGUCCCAGCCGGUGUCGAAGCUGUCCG
RNAcentral lists this unclassified non-coding RNA (819 nucleotides) under uncultured fungus. RNAcentral describes it as "sequence contains 18S rRNA gene, ITS1, 5.8S rRNA gene, ITS2, 28S rRNA gene". The record is from RNAcentral. Lineage: Eukaryota; Fungi.